UGCAGUCGAGCGGAACGACUUAACUGAACCUUCGGGGAACGUUAAGGGCGUCGAGCGGCGGACGGGUGAGUAAUGCCUGGGAACAUGCCAUAGUGUGGGGGAUAACCAUUGGAAACGAUGGCUAAUACCGAAUAACGUCUACGGACCAAAGAGGGGGAUCUUCGGACCUCUCGCGCUAAGAUUGGCCCAGGUGGGAUUAGCUAGUAGGUGGGGUAACGGCUCACCUAGGCGACGAUCCCCAGCUGGUCUGAGAGGAUGAUCAGCCACACUGGAACUGAGACACGGUCCAGACUCCUACGGGAGGCAGCAGUGGGGAAUAUUGCACAAUGGGGGAAACCCUGAUGCAGCCAUGCCGCGUGUGUGAAGAAGGCCUUCGGGUUGUAAAGCACUUUCAGUUGUGAGGAAGGUUCAUGCGUUAAUAGCGUAUGGAUUUGACGUUAGCAACAGAAGAAGCACCGGCUAACUCCGUGCCAGCAGCCGCGGUAAUACGGAGGGUGCGAGCGUUAAUCGGAAUUACUGGGCGUAAAGCGCAUGCAGGCGGCUUGUUAAGCCAGAUGUGAAAGCCCGGGGCUUAACCUCGGAAUAGCAUUUGGAACUGGCAGGCUAGAGUCUUGUAGAGGGGGGUAGAAUUUCAGU
This 636-nucleotide ribosomal RNA is filed under the name uncultured Vibrionaceae bacterium. RNAcentral's name for it is "bacterial SSU rRNA". It matches the Rfam family "Bacterial small subunit ribosomal RNA", at positions 56 to 673 of the family's 1533-position model. The record is from RNAcentral. Lineage: Bacteria; Pseudomonadati; Pseudomonadota; Gammaproteobacteria; Vibrionales; Vibrionaceae.